Molecule: long non-coding RNA, 475 nt
Organism: Oncorhynchus tshawytscha (Chinook salmon)
Lineage: Eukaryota; Metazoa; Chordata; Actinopteri; Salmoniformes; Salmonidae
Source: Ensembl
CAGGGGGUACUGGUACAGAGUCAAUGUGGAGGCUAUAUACAGGGGUACUGGUACAGAGUCAAUGUGGAGGCUAUAUACAGGGGGUACUGGUACAGAGUCAAUGUGGAGGCUAUAUACAGGGUAUUACGGUACAGAGUCAAUGUGGAGGCUAUAUACAGGGGGUACUGGUACAGAGUCAAUGUGGAGGCUAUAUACAGGGUAUUACGGUACAGAGUCAAUGUGGAGGCUAUAUACAGGGGGGGUACUGGUACAGAGUCAAUGUGGAGGCUAUAUACAGGGGGUACUGGUACAGAGUCAAUGUGGAGACUAUAUACAGGGGGUACUGGUACAGAGUCAAUGUGGAGGCUAUAUACAGGGGGUACCGGUACAGAGUCAAUGUGGAGACUAUAUACAGGGGGUACCGGUACAGAGUCAAUGUGGAGGCUAUAUACAGGGGGUACCGGUACAGAGUCAAUGUGGAGACUAUAUACAGGGG